AAACCAGGCAGAGAGACCCAGAUGCAGAAUCCUGCAGGCUGAGGGAUGUCAGGAAGAGUUAGCCCACCACUGCUGCGCUGAAACCAGGAUGAUGCAAACUGGGCCUCAGGCCAGGUGUAUUCCUUGGAGUAUAACUGAAGGUUUACUUGGUAAUUCCAUGUUUAACUUUUCUUGGAACUUCUGGACUAUCUUCCAAAGCAACAGUACCAUUGUACAUUUUCAC
Molecule: long non-coding RNA, 223 nt
Filed under: Pan troglodytes (chimpanzee)
Lineage: Eukaryota; Metazoa; Chordata; Mammalia; Primates; Hominidae
Description: long non-coding RNA NONPTRT000310
Source: RNAcentral